This 224-nucleotide long non-coding RNA is filed under the name Capsella grandiflora. Its description in RNAcentral is "long non-coding RNA (CGRA_LNC001015)". The record is from RNAcentral. Lineage: Eukaryota; Viridiplantae; Streptophyta; Magnoliopsida; Brassicales; Brassicaceae.
CUGAUAUAUCAUGGCUUUUACAGGUUUUUGGUCAUGAUAUAAGUCUUAUUUAUAGAGCUUUUCUAGUGUUUUCGAGUCUUUUUGAGUCAUUUCAGGAUUAGGAACUAUUUGGCAUGCAUUGGAGCUUUUUGGAGCAUUUGGAGAAGAUGUGUCGAAGGAAUGUACCGUGAAAGUAUAUUUGGUGUGAGUGUCGAGCGUCACAACUUCCGGUGUCGAUCGACACC